ACGGGAGAGUAACACGUGGGAACGUGCCCUUUGGUUCGGAAUAACUCAGGGAAACUUGAGCUAAUACCGGAUAAGCCCUUCGGGGGAAAGAUUUAUUGCCAUUGGAGCGGCCCGCGUCGGAUUAGCUAGUUGGUGAGGUAAUGGCUCACCAAGGCGACGAUCCGUAGCUGGUCUGAGAGGAUGACCAGCCUCACUGGGACUGAGACACGGCCCAGACUCCUACGGGAGGCAGCAGUGGGGAAUAUUGGACAAUGGGCGCAAGCCUGAUCCAGCCAUGCCGCGUGGAUGAUGAAGGCCCUAGGGUUGUAAAGUCCUUUUAACGGGGAAGAUAAUGACGGUACCCGUAGAAUAAGCCCCGGCUAACUUCGUGCCAGCAGCCGCGGUAAUACGAAGGGGGCUAGCGUUGCUCGGAAUUACUGGGCGUAAAGCGCACGUAGGCGGACCGAUAAGUCGGGGGUGAAAUCCUGGAGCUCAACUCCAGAACUGCCUUCGAAACUGCCGGUCUUGAGUUCGGGAGAGGUGAGUGGAACUGCGAGUGUAGAGGUGAAAUUCGUAGA
RNAcentral lists this ribosomal RNA (557 nucleotides) under uncultured bacterium. RNAcentral's name for it is "bacterial SSU rRNA". It matches the Rfam family "Bacterial small subunit ribosomal RNA", at positions 102 to 694 of the family's 1533-position model. RNAcentral also lists the same sequence under 1 other name. The record is from RNAcentral.